This is a long non-coding RNA of Pectinophora gossypiella (pink bollworm), 824 nucleotides long. RefSeq lists it as uncharacterized. The transcript has 2 exons. Lineage: Eukaryota; Metazoa; Arthropoda; Insecta; Lepidoptera; Gelechiidae. The record is from RefSeq and is a predicted model, not a curated record.
CUCGAAUUUCGCAAAUUUCCGAUGAGUAGGUCAUUGGUCACCAAAACAGAAAAUCUCGCUUGUUGUCCAAAGAUAAAUGGAUAAAUAAAUAUUCAAUGAAACUGAGCUGAGUUGGAUGCUGAUGCCCAUCGUGUCAUCCGGGAGCUGCGAUAGCGGCACUUGAAUACUUGGAAAAAUGCAUAUUUACAAACAUGUCACAUAUUAAAACCGCACGAGCUGAAAGAGUUUAUUGUAAUCUAAACAGUACCUACAUAGAAUUGUGUGCGUCAAGCUAGCGGCCUCAAAAAAAAAAUGGGCACGAAAAAAUAAUUUGACCAUACCAAAAAAUAGUACUCUUAUUGAAAAAAAUAGUACCUGUUGUAAAAAAAUUAGUACCAUCACGGUUCUGGAUUUAUAGCCAUGUUUUAUUGCACUUGCUAGCUUGACGGUGAGCGAAAUUUGGCGAGAGUUAACGACAAGGUCUUUCGCUUUGAUUUAAACGCCAAAAAAUAGUAUCGAAAUAGUACUCACCCCCUGCAAAAUACCGAAAGUAGUACUUCAACGGUUCCAAAGUUAUAAAGGUAGUUCUUUGAUCCCGCUAGCUUGACGUUUUGAAAAUACCUAUUAUCUGGGGAAUGCUUGCAUACUUCAGUUUGUAACUAAUGUCAAUAAACUCGUAUGAAAUAGUACUCCCUACCAUCAUAAUUUGGACCUGAUUCUCUUUGUAGAAAUAUGUCAAAAAGUCAUUAUAACCUAUGUCAUACAUUUAUCAAGACGAGUACAGUCGCGAACAAAAUUAUUACACAUGGUCAAGAAUGUUGUCAGAUUUCAGUAUUUUUCCCCAU